Non-coding RNA from Mus musculus (house mouse), 335 nucleotides. The record is from the annotation of a RefSeq genome assembly. NCBI's taxonomy places the organism in Eukaryota, Metazoa, Chordata, Mammalia, Rodentia, Muridae.
AUGUGGACAUUCCUGCUACUUCUUUGGAGCCAAGGUUCUGUAUUCAGUGUCCUCCUCUACCAAAAGCCAAACAGGGACAUCUGUCAAAGUGGCACUUCACUGAAAAUCCAGUGUGUGGCUGACAGUCAAGUUGUUUCGAUGUUUUGGUACCAACAGUUCCAGGAACAGAGCUUGAUGCUCAUGGCAACUGCAAAUGAAGGCUCUGAAGCCACAUACGAGAGUGGAUUCACCAAGGACAAGUUUCCAAUCAGCCGGCCAAACCUAACAUUCUCAACGUUGACAGUGAACAAUGCAAGGCCUGGAGACAGCAGUAUCUAUUUCUGUAGUUCUAGAGA